GACGAACGCUGGCGGCGUGCCUAAUACAUGCAAGUAGAACGCUGAAGGAGGAGCUUGCUUCUCUGGAUGAGUUGCGAACGGGUGAGUAACGCGUAGGUAACCUGCCUGGUAGCGGGGGAUAACUAUUGGAAACGAUAGCUAAUACCGCAUAAUAGUAGAUGUUGCAUGACAUUUGCUUAAAAGGUGCAAUUGCAUCACUACCAGAUGGACCUGCGUUGUAUUAGCUAGUUGGUGGGGUAACGGCUCACCAAGGCGACGAUACAUAGCCGAACUGAGAGGGUGAUCGGCCACACUGGGACUGAGACACGGCCCAGACUCCUACGGGAGGCAGCAGUAGGGAAUCUUCGGCAAUGGACGGAAGUCUGACCGAGCAACGCCGCGUGAGUGAAGAAGGGUUUCGGAGCGUAAAGCUCUGUUGUAAGAGAAGAACGAGUGUGAGAGUGGAAAGUUCACACUGUGACGGUAUCUUACCAGAAAGGGACGGCUAACUACGUG
This 495-nucleotide ribosomal RNA is filed under the name uncultured bacterium. RNAcentral's name for it is "partial 16S ribosomal RNA". It matches the Rfam family "Bacterial small subunit ribosomal RNA", at positions 28 to 507 of the family's 1533-position model. The record is from RNAcentral.